GAUCAUGGCUCAGGACGAACGCUGGCGGCGCGCCUAACACAUGCAAGUCGAACGAGAGAUGAGGAGCUUGCUCUUCAAAUCGAGUGGCGAACGGGUGAGUAACGCGUGAGGAACCUGCCUCAAAUAGGGGGACAACAGUUGGAAACGACUGCUAAUACCGCAUAAGCCCACAGCUCGGCAUCGAGCAGAGGGAAAAGGAGCGAUCCGCUUUGAGAUGGCCUCGCGUCCGA
RNAcentral lists this ribosomal RNA (230 nucleotides) under uncultured bacterium. RNAcentral's name for it is "partial 16S ribosomal RNA". It matches the Rfam family "Bacterial small subunit ribosomal RNA", at positions 15 to 240 of the family's 1533-position model. The record is from RNAcentral.